Molecule: ribosomal RNA, 404 nt
Filed under: gamma proteobacterium CNC15
Lineage: Bacteria; Pseudomonadati; Pseudomonadota; Gammaproteobacteria
Description: bacterial SSU rRNA
Rfam family: Bacterial small subunit ribosomal RNA
Source: RNAcentral
AUGGCUGUCGUCAGCUCGUGUCGUGAGAUGUUGGGUUAAGUCCCGCAACGAGCGCAACCCCCGUCCUUAGUUGCUACCAUUUAGUUGAGCACUCUAAGGAGACUGCCGGUGAUAAGCCGCGAGGAAGGUGGGGAUGACGUCAAGUCCUNAUGGCCCUUACGGGNUGGGCUACACACNUGCUACAAUGGCGGUGACNAUGGGACGCUAAGGAGCAAUCCUUCGCAAAUCUCNANAAGCCGUCUCAGUUCGGAUUGGACUNUGCAAGCUCGAGUCCAUGAAGUUGGAAUCGNUAGUAAUCGUGGAUCAGCAUGCCACGGUGAAUACGUUCCCCGGGCCUUGUACACACCGCCCGUCACACCCAUGGGAGUUGGUUUUACGCUGAGACGGUAGUGCGCUAAUCCCGA